This 301-nucleotide ribosomal RNA is filed under the name uncultured bacterium. RNAcentral describes it as "partial 16S ribosomal RNA". It matches the Rfam family "Bacterial small subunit ribosomal RNA", at positions 509 to 807 of the family's 1533-position model. The record is from RNAcentral.
CAGCAGCCGCGGUAAUACGAAGGUCCCGAGCGUUGUUCGGAAUCACUGGGCGUAAAGGGAGCGUAGGCGGCGUGGUAAGUCAAAUGUGAAAUCCCGGGGCUCAACCCCGGAACUGCAUCCGAUACUGCCGUGCUAGAGGAUUGGAGAGGUAGCUGGAAUUCUUGGUGUAGCAGUGAAAUGCGUGGAGAUCAAGAGGAACACUCGUGGCGAAAGCGAGCUACUGGACAAUAUCUGACGCUGAGGCUCGAAGGCCAGGGUAGCGAAAGGGAUUAGAUACCCCGGUAGUCCCUGUCUCUUAUAC